UACAUAACGCAUGCAAAUGGUGGCUUUU
This 28-nucleotide small RNA is filed under the name Bombyx mori (domestic silkworm). RNAcentral describes it as "ovarian small RNA-20357". The record is from RNAcentral. Lineage: Eukaryota; Metazoa; Arthropoda; Insecta; Lepidoptera; Bombycidae.